AGAGUUUGAUCCUGGCUCAGAACGAACGCUGGCGGAGUGCUUAAUACAUGCAAGUCGAGCGUGAGGGGAGCAAUCCCUGAAAGCGGCGAACGGGUGAGUAACACGUAAGUAAUCUGCCUCUAAAUUUGGGAUAACCCUGCUAACGCGGGGCUAAUACCGGAUGUGGUCAUAUUUUUGCAUGAGAGUAUGAUUAAAGGUGGUGAAAGCCGCCGUUUAGAGAUGAGCUUGCGGCCCAUUAGUUAGUUGGUGAGGUAAGAGCUUACCAAGGCAGUUAUGGGUAGCCGACCUGAGAGGGUGACCGGCCACAUUGGGACUGAGAUACGGCCCAGACUCCUACGGGAGGCAGCAGUAGGGAAUUUUGCGCAAUGGACGAAAGUCCGACGCAGCAACUCUGCGUGAUGGAAGAAGGUUUUCGGAUUGUAAACAUCUGUUGACGGGGACGUAACUGUUGUAUAUGAAAGUAUAUGAUACUGACGGUACCUGUUUAGAAAGCCCCGGCUAACUACGUGCCAGCAGCCGCGGUAAUACGUAGGGGGCUAGCGUUGUUCGGAAUCACUGAGCGUAAAGGGAGUGUAGGUUGGUUCAUAAGUUGGAAGUGAAAACUAGCGGCUUAACCGUUAGAUUGCUUACAAUACUGUGAGUCUUGAGUUUUGGAGGGGAAGAUGGAAUUCCUGGAGUAGCGGUGGAAUGCGUAGAUAUCAGGAAGAACACCCAAAGCGAAGGCAGUCUUCUGGCCGGAAACUGACACUGAAACUCGAAAGCCGGGGGAGCAAACAGGAUCAGAUACCCUGGUAGUCCCGGCUGUAAACGAUGGAUACCAGUUGUUGGGGGUAGUAAAGACCUCAGUGACGCAGCAAACGCGAUAAGUAUCCCGCCUGGGGAGUACGCUCGCAAGAGUGAAGCCCAAAGGAAUUGACGGGGGCCCGCACAAGCGGUGGAGCAUGUGCUUUAAUUCGAUGCAACGCGAAGAACCUUACCUGGUCUUGACAUGUGGAUGUAAGGUUGUAGAGAUACGACCCCUUUCGCAAGAAACAUCCAACACAGGUGCUGCAUGGUUGUCGUCAGCUCGUGUCGUGAGAUGUUGGGUUAAGUCCCGCAACGAGCGCAACCCUCGUCCUUAGUUGCCAGCACGUAGAGGUGGGAACUCUAGGGAUACUGCCCGGAAUAACCGGGAGGAAGGUGGGGAUGACGUCAAAUCAUCAUGGCUCUUACGACCGGGGCCAGACACGUGCUACAAUGGAUAGCACAAAGGGGAGCGAGAUUGUGAAAUUAAGCGAAUCCUCAAAACUAUCCUCAGUUCGGAUUGAAGUCUGCAAUUCGACUUCAUGAAGCUGGAAUCGCUAGUAAUCGUGGAUCAGCACGCCACGGUGAAUACGUUCCCGGGCCUUGUACACACCGCCCGUCAAGCCAUGAAAGACGGUAGUACCCAAAGCCGUUACUCAAACCUGCAAGGGGUGAUAAUGUCUAAGGUAAGAUCGUUGAUUGGGGCUAAGUCGUAACAAGGUA
This 1506-nucleotide ribosomal RNA is filed under the name metagenome. RNAcentral's name for it is "bacterial SSU rRNA". It matches the Rfam family "Bacterial small subunit ribosomal RNA". The record is from RNAcentral.